Molecule: long non-coding RNA, 1944 nt
Organism: Lonchura striata (white-rumped munia)
Lineage: Eukaryota; Metazoa; Chordata; Aves; Passeriformes; Estrildidae
Source: Ensembl
UUUUCCAUCCUCUUUCCUUCCUCAUGCAGGGAUGGGAUCGCUCAUCCCAUUUUGCCUUUUCCAAGGGGAAUUCCCAAGGGAAUUUCAUCAGUUUUCCAUCAAUUUUCCAUCCUCAUCCAGGGAUGGGAUUGCUCAUCCCGUUAUCUCCCCUACCACACGGUUUUGGCUUUUCCAAGGGGAAUUCCCAAGGGAAUUUCAUCCGUUUUCCAUCAGUUUUCCAUCAGUUUUCCAUCCUCAUCCAGGGAUGGGAUCGCUCAUCCCGUUAUCUCCCCUACCACACAGUUUUGGCUUUUCCAAGGGGAAUUCCCAAGGGAAUUUCAUCAGUUUUCCAUCCUCAUCCAGGGAUGGGAUCGCUCAUCCCAUUUUGCCUUUUCCAAGGGGAAUUCCCAAGGGAAUUUCAUCAGUUUUCCUUCCUCAUCCAGGGAUGGGAUCGCUCAUCCCAUUUUCCGCCCUACUGCAGCUCCUCCAUGGCAGAUAUCCAAUUUUGGGAAGCCAAACCCACACGGUUUUGGUUUUCCCAAGGGGAAUUCCCAAGGGAGAUGCUGGAACCAAACCUGUCGGAAUCCGUGGUAUUGAUGAUUCUGAGAUUGUAAAAACUCUCUGUCCUUCAGCCCCGUUGUGAAAGCAGAAAUCAUAAAUUGUCUGUGCUGGUUUUUAAAGUUGUUUAUUUUUGUUUAUUUUUAACGUGUUCUGCUGCUCUGCCAAAGGUCUGUCCUCAGUGGGAUGUUACAAACAUGAAAUACCAGAAACUCCCUGUGCUGGAUUUACAAUGUAUUUUAUAUAUAUUUAUUUAAUACAUAUAUUUACAUAUAUUUAAAGAUAUAUUUAAAUAUAUAAAAAUAUAUUUAAUAUAUUGCAAUAACGUGCCAAUAUUGAUCACCUACAUUGAUCAGCGUGUCCCCGGCCUAAACCCAGUCCCCAGUUUAAUGUUACAAACAUUAAAUACACAAACUGCAAUAUUUACAAUAAUAUUCCAAUAUUGAUCAGUGUGUCCCCGGCCUAAACCCAGUCCCCAGUUUAAUGUUACAAACAUUAAAUACACAAACUCCCUGUGCAAUAUUUACAAUAAUAUUCCAAUAUUGAUCACCCACAUUGAUCAGUGUGUCCCCAGCCUAAACCCAGUCCCCAGUUUAAUGUUACAAACAUUCAAUACACAAACUCCCUGUGCAAUAUUUACAAUAAUAUUCCAAUAUUGAUCAGCGUGUCCCAGCCAAACCAACAGAAAAAUGCCAACACGCAGUGAGACAUGGAGGGCGAGGAGAAGAAGGAGAAAAGGACAAGGCACACCCAAUUCCCUCCAGCUCGUCCCCUCAUCUAAAAUCCUAAAAUUUUAUUUCCACACCCGUGCCACACUUAAUUAUUAAUUAAUUGAGCGCUGGUAAUUGAUGCAGUGAGGUUGGGAACUCUUUUCCCUGGGCAGAGAUCACAGCCGGGGGCUCGGGGGCUCUGUCCUCACCCCUGAGACCUCCCGGGUCAGCUCUGCAUUCCCACAAUAUUAAAUCUCAUUUUUUCCUCCGUUCCGCACCGACGGCGCCCACCGCGGCAGCAGAAAAUGAGUUUUCCUUCAAAUUCAUUUAGCGCCGCUGAAAGGGCGUCAAUGAGGCGAGCAGAGCGCAGCUGAGGGGAACAUUAAAAACCAAAAAACCCAACCCCAAAAUCAUCUCCCUGCUCCGGCAGCUGCUUUCCAGGGGGGAAAAAAUCGCCAAAAUUUGAGUCGUGCCUGCCGGGAAAAUCGGAAUGCGGCAUCCACGGCUGCAGGGCGGUGCCAGUGAGGAGGGGAUUAACCCCGGGGUGGCGUGAGGAAUGAGGGAAUUAACCCAAAAAAUGAUGUUUUCUCUCUGUGACAUCACCGGCGCGAGAGGAAUUAAAAAUGGGUAAUAAUCACCAGGUUCAAACUCGCACAGGUGGGCCUGGAACAAAAAUAAAAAAAAAGCUCCUUUUGCA